AUACGGAGGAUGCGAGCGUUAUCCGGAUUUAUUGGGUUUAAAGGGAGCGUAGGCGGGAGCUUAAGUCAGCGGUUAAAUGGUGCGGCUCAACCGUGCCCUGCCGUUGAAACUGGGUUUCUUGAGAGUGCAAGAGGCGGAUGGAAUUCAUGGUGUAGCGGUGAAAUGCUUAGAUAUCAUGAAGAACUCCGAUUGCGAAGGCAGUACGCUUGGGCACGUCUGACGCUGAUGCUCGAAGGUGCGGGAAUCAAACAGGAUUAGAUACCCUGGUAGUCCGCACGGUAAACGAUGAUUACCCGCUGUCGGCGGCAGACAGUCGGCGGCCAAGCGAAAGUGAUAAGUAAUCCACCUGGGGAGUACGCCGGCAACGGUGAAACUCAAAUGAAUUGACGGGG
This 392-nucleotide ribosomal RNA is filed under the name uncultured bacterium. RNAcentral's name for it is "partial 16S ribosomal RNA". It matches the Rfam family "Bacterial small subunit ribosomal RNA", at positions 523 to 918 of the family's 1533-position model. The record is from RNAcentral.